RNAcentral lists this unclassified non-coding RNA (211 nucleotides) under plant metagenome. Its description in RNAcentral is "partial contains small subunit ribosomal RNA, internal transcribed spacer 1, and 5.8S ribosomal RNA". The record is from RNAcentral.
UUUCCGUAGGUGAACCUGCGGAAGGAUCAUUCAUAAUAAAGUGUUUUAUGGCACUUUUUAAAAAUCCAUAUCCACCUUGUGUGCAAUGUUAGAUCUUGUCAAUCUUGGCGAGAUUUUUAUACAUCAACUCAUUCUUUAACUAAUUUGUCUGAAAAAUAUUAUGAAUACUUAAUUCAAAAUACAACUUUCAACAACGGAUCUCUUGGCUCUC